UUCGCUGGGUUCUGUGAAAGUGCGGGUUCAGGCCCCUUCCUUCGGUAGUGAGCUCGAGCCCAGACAGAUUUUCAUGAGUAUCAUGUGGAGCUUGGGCAGGUGCAAAACUCCUACUUUCCAUAAGAAAACCUACCCCCGCAUCUUUGUAAGACUUCGGGUGAUGUUUUAAGUCAGGAACUUAGGAGGUACAUCUGCAACCCGUGUCCUUAUUCAAAUGACAAAGGCAGCUAUUCCUCAUGUCUUAGUUCUGUGAAGAGAAAGGAGGAAAAAUACAUCGGCAGAUUGUGGAGGAAGACAGAAGCUGAGCCAUGCUCACGACACACCUGCGGAAGGAUUGGCGUGAGGCGGGACCCAUCAGAGUGAGGCACCUGGCAGUGACCCAACGCUGAAACAAAUGAUCUCACUGUUCUUCAAGGUGCUAGCACAGGACCAAAGAAAGCACUCUGCUGAAUUGGCUAUAAGCGACGCUCCUAACUGCUUUUGAGAGGGAAAACAAGCAAGAAAGAAUGUACCUAGAAGUUGCCUGUGCUUCAAGGAGGCUCUGCCUGGAGACAGGAUUUGUGGGUGCCGCGAUGGAUUGGAUCCGGAGUGCACUCAAAGAAAGGCGUAGGUGUUGAAAAGCUGCUCUCCAGUGGUGGUGCUGUGGGAGGUUGUGGAACUGCAGGAGGUGGGCCUUAGCUGGGGGAAGCGGGCCCUGGGACAUGCUCUCCAAGGGCAUAUUGGGACCCUGACCCCCAUCCUGUGCUUUGUGGUUGCCACCAGCUCAGCACUUUUGCUCCAUCCUGUGUAGUUUGCCAUGAUGUCUGUCUUGCCACAGAGCCAAGUG
This 826-nucleotide long non-coding RNA is filed under the name Fukomys damarensis (Damara mole-rat). RNAcentral's name for it is "lncRNA (ENSFDAG00000029620.1)". Lineage: Eukaryota; Metazoa; Chordata; Mammalia; Rodentia; Bathyergidae. The record is from RNAcentral.